This 1396-nucleotide ribosomal RNA is filed under the name metagenome. Its description in RNAcentral is "bacterial SSU rRNA". It matches the Rfam family "Bacterial small subunit ribosomal RNA", at positions 132 to 1498 of the family's 1533-position model. The record is from RNAcentral.
UAGGGAUUGGGAUAACCUGCCGAAAGGUGGGCUAAUACCGGAUACGUCCUAUGUUUUUCGAAACAUAGGGGAAAGAUGGGGACCCUUCGGGGCCUGUCGCCCUUGGAUGGGCUCGCGGCCUAUCAGCUUGUUGGUGAGGUAAUGGCUCACCAAGGCGAAGACGGGUAGCUGGUCUGAGAGGAUGGUCAGCCACACUGGGACUGAGACACUGCCCAGACACCUACGGGUGGCUGCGGUCGAGAAUCUUUCGCAAUGGGGGAAACCCUGACGAAGCGACGCCGCGUGCAGGAUGACGGCCUUCGGGUUGUAAACUGCUGUCAGCUGGGACGAACGGUUUUUGAUGAAUAGUCAAAAACUCUGACGGUACCAGCAGAGGAAGCCACGGCUAACUCUGUGCCAGCAGCCGCGGUAAUACAGAGGUGGCAAGCGUUGUUCGGAUUUAUUGGGCGUAAAGGGUCCGUAGGCGGUUCGGAAAGUCGGGUGUGAAAUCCCACAGCUUAACUGUGGAACUGCAUUCGAAACUCCCGAACUAGAGUACGAGAGGGGUAAAGGGAAUUCCCGGUGUAAGGGUGAAAUCUGCAGAGAUCGGGAGGAACACCAGUCGCGAAGGCGCUUUACUGGCUCGUUACCGACGCUCAGGGACGAAAGCUAGGGUAGCAAACGGGAUUAGAUACCCCGGUAGUCCUAGCCGUAAACGAUGAUCACUAGGUGCUGGGAGGGUUAAACCUUUCGGUGCCGCAGCUAACGCAUUAAGUGAUCCGCCUGGGGAGUAUGGUCGCAAGGCUGAGACUCAAAGGGAUUGACGGGGACCCGCACAAACGGUGGAGCAUGUGGUUUAAUACGACAUACGCGUGGAACCUUACCCAGGCUUGACAUGUACUAGAAAUCCCUAUGAAAGUAGGGACCUUCCUUCGGGAACUGGUACACAGGUGUUGCAUGGCUGUCGUCAGCUCGUGUCGUGAGAUGUUGGGUUAAGUCCCGCAACGAGCGCAACCCCUAUCUUUAGUUGCUAAUCAUUCCGUAAGGGAUGAUGCACUCUAAAGAGACUGCCGCUGAUAAAGCGGAGGAAGGUGGGGAUGACGUCAAGUCAGUACGGCCCUUACGCCUGGGGCUACACACGUGCUACAAUGGCCGGUACAACAGGUUGCGAUACCGCGAGGUGGAGCUAAUCCCUAAAGCCGGUCCCAGUACGGAUUGAAGGCUGCAAUUCGCCUCCAUGAAGCUGGAAUCGUUAGUAACCCCGUAUCAGCCACGACGGGGUGAAUACGUUCCCGGGUCUUGUACACACCGCCCGUCAAGUCACCUGAGUGGGUUGUACCCGAAGUAGGUUGCCUAACCGCAAGGAGGGCGUCUGCGAAGGUAUGAUUCGCAAGGGGGACUAAGUCGAAACAAGGUA